Molecule: ribosomal RNA, 440 nt
Filed under: uncultured bacterium
Lineage: Bacteria
Description: partial 16S ribosomal RNA
Rfam family: Bacterial small subunit ribosomal RNA
Source: RNAcentral
CCUACGGGGGGCAGCAGUGGGGGAUAUUGCACAAUGGGGGAAACCCUGAUGCAGCGACGCCGCGUGUAGGAAGACGGUCCUCUGGAUUGUAAACUACUGUCCCCAGGGACGAAGAUGACGGUACCUGGGGAGGAAGCUCCGGCGAACCACGUGCCAGCAGCCGCGGUAUUACGUAGGGAGCGAGCGUUGUCCGGAAUUACUGGGUGUAAAGGGAGCGUAGGCGGGGAUGAAAGUUGGGUGUUAAAUCUACCGGCUAAACUGGUAGUCGCACUCAAAACUGCAGCUCUUGAGUGAAGUAGAGGCAGGCGGAAUUCCUAGUGUAGCGGUGAAAUGCGUAGAUAUUAGGAGGAACACCAGUGGCGAAGGCGGCCUGCUGGGCUUUUACUGACGCUGAGGCUCGAAAGUGUGGGGAGCAAACAGGAUUAGAUACCCCUGUAGUC